This 523-nucleotide ribosomal RNA is filed under the name Prorocentrum minimum. RNAcentral's name for it is "partial Bacterial large subunit ribosomal RNA". It matches the Rfam family "Bacterial large subunit ribosomal RNA", at positions 91 to 569 of the family's 2925-position model. Lineage: Eukaryota; Dinophyceae; Prorocentrales; Prorocentraceae. The record is from RNAcentral.
AAUGAGCGUUGAUCCGAGGGUGUCCGAAUGGGGAAACCCGGCCAUGGUUAUGUGUGGUCACCCGCCAGUGAAGAAAAUAGUUGGUUGGGGGGUUACGCGGGGAAGUGAAACAUCUUAGUACCCGUAGGAAGAGAAAACAAGUGUGAUUCCGUGAGUAGUGGCGAGCGAAAGCGGAGGAGGCUAAACCGUGUGUGUGUUCAAGCCGGCAGGUGUUGCAUGUGCGGGGUUGUGGGGGCCUUGUGGUUCUGCUGCCGCAGGAUUGGCCAGUGAGAAAUGUUGCGUGAAGGUGAAGCGUCUGGGAAGGCGUACCGGAGUGGGUGAGAGUCCUGUAACUGUAAGCGUGGCACUGGUGUGGGGUUGCCCCGAGUAGCGUGGGACUCGUGGAAUUUCGCGUGAAUCUGGCGGGACCACCCGUCAAGCCUAAAUACUCCUUGGUGACCGAUAGUGGAUGAGUACCGUGAGGGAAGGGUGAAAAGUACCCCGGGAGGGGAGUGAAAGAGUUCCUGAAACCGGUCGCAUGCAA